Non-coding RNA from Arachis ipaensis, 542 nucleotides. The record is from RefSeq and is a predicted model, not a curated record. Lineage: Eukaryota; Viridiplantae; Streptophyta; Magnoliopsida; Fabales; Fabaceae.
GGAGUUCAUUUUGUUCUUUAUUCCUUUUCAAGAAACCGCCAAGAUCACCAUCAUCAUUAUUAUCAUUACUAUGAACAUGCAAAAUCUCAUAACAGAGAGAAAUGGAUGCAGAAUCAUAUCAAUAGGUCCACUCUUGAGGCAGAAUCAUAUCACCCUGCUGCAUAUUUGGCUGUGAUUUCCGUGAUUGCCGCUUCUGCAGUGAGUACAUGCCGUCCCUGUUACUCACCAAAACAUCUAAAAAGGGAGGGAAGCCAGCAGCUGCUUUAGGUCCAGAGGUGACAGCCAUUUGUUCAAAGUGAUGUUGCAAAGCUUGUACCACUCUAGCUGGUAUAAGAAUAUUGGAGCAACCUUUACCUGACCAAAAAUAACAUCACAAUCCUGUUAUUAUUAUGUCAUGCUGUAUAUAGUACUAUAAUAUCAAAAUUUGCUCAUACAUUCAUUAUUUUUCCCUCCUUUUUCAAUUGAUCUUGUUGUUUUACUUUAGCCUAAAGAAAUGCCAUUAUAGAAUCAAUCAUAUAACAUAAUUAGUCAUCAAUUGGAUA